UACGAAGGGGGCUAGCGUUGCUCGGAAUGACUGGGCGUAAAGGGCGCGUAGGCGGAUGACACAGUCAGAUGUGAAAUUCCCGGGCUUAACCUGGGGGCUGCAUUUGAUACGUGUUGUCUAGAGUGAGGAAGAGGGUCGUGGAAUUCCCAGUGUAGAGGUGAAAUUCGUAGAUAUCGGGAGGAACACCAGUGGCGAAGGCGGCGAUCUGGGAAGAUACUGACGCUGAGGUGCGAAAGCGUGGGGAGCAAACAGG
RNAcentral lists this ribosomal RNA (253 nucleotides) under uncultured bacterium. RNAcentral describes it as "partial 16S ribosomal RNA". It matches the Rfam family "Bacterial small subunit ribosomal RNA", at positions 524 to 776 of the family's 1533-position model. The record is from RNAcentral.